ACGAGAGGACCGGGAUGGACGUACCUAUGGUGUACCAGUUGUCACGCCAGUGGCAUCGCUGGGUAGCUAAGUACGGCAUGGAUAAGCGCUGAAGGCAUCUAAGCGCGAAGCCAACUUCAAGAUUAGAUUUCCCAUUCACUUGAUGAAGUAAGAUCCCUUGAAGACUACAAGGUUGAUAGGUCAGAGAUGGAAGCAUAGUGAUAUGUGUAGUUGACUGAUACUAAUAGAUCGAGGAUUUAAUCACAC
This 246-nucleotide ribosomal RNA is filed under the name Erysipelotrichaceae bacterium. RNAcentral describes it as "partial 23S ribosomal RNA". It matches the Rfam family "Bacterial large subunit ribosomal RNA", at positions 2683 to 2925 of the family's 2925-position model. The record is from RNAcentral. Lineage: Bacteria; Bacillati; Bacillota; Erysipelotrichia; Erysipelotrichales; Erysipelotrichaceae.